CCCAGCCAUGGCCAGUUGGCCCAAAUAGCAUGCCAUGCCAGCUCAUGGUGGGUUUCUUUGCCUAUGCAAAAUCACUUGAAAUAAAUGUAGACAAGGAAGAGUUGGAAGAUGCUACAUGGCACAGCAGAGAAGACGUCCAAAAAGCAUUGAUGGUUGCAGAAUAUGAGAAGGCGCAAAGAACAGCAGCUGCCAAGGUUAAUCUGCUGAGAAAUUCUGUCCUUUCUCGACGCCCUUGCACAUCUGUUUUAAUUUAGAAAGUGGGGAGCUUGCUCCAAUGUUUUUCCCUGGCCCCUUUGCAAUUGCUCACCGC
Molecule: unclassified non-coding RNA, 310 nt
Filed under: Hevea brasiliensis (rubber tree)
Lineage: Eukaryota; Viridiplantae; Streptophyta; Magnoliopsida; Malpighiales; Euphorbiaceae
Source: RNAcentral